UCCCCCUAGGUUUAUGGCCGUGUUCACCGCAGCUCUGCUGAAGACAGGGCAUUUAAACCGGGCCAGACGCCUGGUCGCAUCCAGGCCUCUGCUGUUAACACUUAAGGGGCCUAAAAAAAGGCCCCAGUGGUAUCCUGGGAAUCCCUGUCAGUGAGUGUGAGUGUGUGCGUGUGUGCGUGUGUGUGUGUGCGUGCGCGCGCGUGCGUGCUGGGGAAAACAUGUGUUCCUGCAUGCUCUGGGCCCACACAGCAGAUGUAGCAACAAAUUUUUUGUUUUUUAAUAUAUUCUCAUCAGAGUGACAAAGAUUUUUGAUUUGACAGUAAGUGAAUUGAAAAAUAGUGCUGGGCAGAUUAUCUUUCUCCUUUUUUUCUGGUGCCUUUUCAUUCUUUGCUUCUCGUUUUAAUUUGCUGUUGGAGCUCAUGGGAUCUUUUCAGAAGAUCCCUUAGACUCUUCGCUUGCACUUAGAUGCUUACGUGUUAAAACUUCUGCUCAGUGAUAAAUACACCGGCUUCUCAAAUUGUCCCUUCCCGAACACGUUGAUAUGUAUUAUUAAAACCUCAUUUAAAGUGUAAUAUGUCAAAAUAAAAUUUUCGGAUGUCGUGUAAAAAAAAAAAAAACCACAUUACUUCAAAUGUUAGCAAUUGGUCAGGAUUCUGAUUUUUGCUUUAAAUGGGUGUGAACAGAUAGACACCAUUUUUGCUCUGGUAAAUAUUGUUGAUAACUUUAUCUUUUCCGGCGUACCUAAAAGAGUAACAUGUGAGUCAUUAUUUGAUUUUUUAUCUGAUAGGUUUGCUAACUUUAAUUUCACCGAGAAAUUAUUACUGUUUGAACUCAACUGUUGGUGGAACGUGUUCCUGUUCUAGUUCAAUGCCUGGAAAAGGUGGUGAAAUCUUCUCUGAGCUCAAGCGCGGCUCAUGCUUUGGGAACUCAUAAUUAUGUUCAGACACCUGCAUAAUUUCAUUUGGAAAAUCAUCCGUACCUGUAAAUGCUGUUCCAUUCAGAAUAGCAAGGAUUUAGCUAGAGGCCCCUCCUCCAGUCAGAAAGUGGUAAGUUGGGAGGGGUUAUUUGGCCCUUGAUCCCUGCUAAGAUGAGAAACAAUCAUGUUUGCUCUGGUAAUAAUUCACAUCAGAAAUGUUAACCAACAUGAAAUAAUUCCUGUGGAAGCGUGAGGUUUGCAUAGAGCGUUAUUUUUAUUUGUGUAUUGUUACAACUCUCUCGCGCAGCCGUUAGGCCGGCCUCGCAGGCCCAUGUUCUGUGUCUGAGAACCCUCAGCUUGGAAAGGAGGAUCCACCCCAUUGGGUGAGAAAAGCCAUAGAGAUUUCCCUGCAGAACAAAUCAUAAUUGUUCUUUAAGCAUACCGUUAUCAUUUAUGAAUGCCUAGGGAUAAACAUAAACAUCGUGAAAGUUCAGUUUGUCGGUAAGAUUAAAUUGCUGCAUGUGGGGUGAGGGGCAGAAGUGUCUUUUAGCCUUUGUAUAUGGCUUUAGAAGCUAUUUUGACAGUGGCCAUUAAGCGAGUGCCUUGCCCUGAAGCUUCCGCAAGGUAAAUUACUUGCAGGAGGAGGAAGCUU
Long non-coding RNA from Herpailurus yagouaroundi (jaguarundi), 1568 nucleotides. RefSeq lists it as uncharacterized. The transcript is spliced from 2 exons. Lineage: Eukaryota; Metazoa; Chordata; Mammalia; Carnivora; Felidae. The record is from RefSeq and is a predicted model, not a curated record.